RNAcentral lists this unclassified non-coding RNA (422 nucleotides) under fungal sp. RNAcentral's name for it is "partial internal transcribed spacer region". The stretch from base 1 to 46 matches the Rfam family "Eukaryotic small subunit ribosomal RNA", at positions 1786 to 1831 of the family's 1831-position model. Lineage: Eukaryota; Fungi. The record is from RNAcentral.
AAGUCGUAACAAGGUUUCCGUAGGUGAACCUGCGGAAGGAUCAUUAACACGUAUCCAACGUUAAAAACCCCGUCAACCUUUAUCGCCGCUCCUCAUGGCUAAGUCUUGGAUAAAGCCAACACAGCAAUCCCUGCACUCGUCGAGAAAUGUAAAGAGGAGGGACCUCUGUUUGGUAGAGCACUGUGGGUUGAGCGCUUGGGUUCCACCGGUCGGUAAUCGACCUCUAGUGAUCGUUAAGCGAAAUCCUUAGACAAUCAGUAACACUGUCAUUCACUGAUUGCUUGGGGAAAAGCAAGCCACCUUAACAAGUCACAGGGCUUCGGCUCCCUCCCCAACCCCACUUUCUAUUGCCGCUCCGCGCUAACAACGCCGGGCAUUCAAAAACGUUUAAACAACUGUUAACAAUGGAUAUCUUGGUUCUC